CAGGCCUAACACAUGCAAGUCGAACGGGCACCUUCGGGUGUCAGUGGCAGACGGGUGAGUAACACGUGGGAACGUACCCUUCGGUUCGGAAUAACUCAGGGAAACUUGAGCUAAUACCGGAUACGCCCUUUUGGGGAAAGGUUUACUGCCGAAGGAUCGGCCCGCGUCUGAUUAGCUUGUUGGUGGGGUAACGGCCUACCAAGGCGACGAUCAGUAGCUGGUCUGAGAGGAUGAUCAGCCACACUGGGACUGAGACACGGCCCAGACUCCUACGGGAGGCAGCAGUGGGGAAUAUUGGACAAUGGGCGCAAGCCUGAUCCAGCCAUGCCGCGUGAGUGAUGAACGCCUUAGGGUUGUAAAGCUCUUUUGUCCGGGACGAUAAUGACGGUACCGGAAGAAUAAGCCCCGGCUAACUUCGUGCCAGCAGCCGCGGUAAU
RNAcentral lists this ribosomal RNA (437 nucleotides) under uncultured bacterium. Its description in RNAcentral is "bacterial SSU rRNA". It matches the Rfam family "Bacterial small subunit ribosomal RNA", at positions 43 to 524 of the family's 1533-position model. The record is from RNAcentral.